GGGACUAAUAUUGAUGGCUUUUAUUGAUGA
This 30-nucleotide non-coding RNA is filed under the name Mus musculus (house mouse). The record is from RNAcentral. Lineage: Eukaryota; Metazoa; Chordata; Mammalia; Rodentia; Muridae.